GCCAAUGGCUCCAUCUUUAUGCACACUCAAGUUACAUGCCUUACUAGGUUGUUCUCUAUGCAGCAAAAGAUUCUGUUAGUGUUGUUACUGUUAACUUGCCUUCCAGAAUUUGAAACCAAAAAUGUCCAUUUAUUCUAAUUUUGAGAAGCCUCUUGCAAUCCCUCAGUCCUGUGCUUGAAAUGUUUUCUAUAGCAUUGGCAAGCUUCUGUAGCAAAAGCUACUGUGCUGCCUUCAGAUUCCUCAUAUGUACACACAGUUAAUGGGUGUUGUCGUGAUUAAUUGCUAAUUAUUUGGUAAAGUUAAUUGGCUGGUGCUUUGAACACCUGGUAUUGAUUUUUUUAAAACUAAGAAAUAUUUCUAAAUAAGAUUGCAUUAACUUUAAAAAUGUCUUCAAUUUACUUUGGGUUUUUCUAGAACUCUAUGAAUCUACCACACAAACUAAUUACUAUAUGGAAUAAUUUACUGUACUCACAUACAGUAAAUACUAAAUGAGUGCAUUACUGUAAAAACAUAAUCAUGAUUGUUAUUUUUUAUUUAAGUACCUCUUAUGCUAUUUAAAAGCAUAAUUCCUGUAAAAAUUACAUGUUCCGAAUAGUUAAAUCACUGCUUAUCCUAUCUAUAGAUUUCUUUCUUAAUAAUUACAUAUUUCUGUAAAGCCUACUGUAAAAUGCUUUCAUUGCUUGCAGUUUUAAGUUUGAUCUGCUUACACUUAGGUAGACAUGCCUGCAAUAACUUUUCUCUCAGUUAUUUCUAACCUCAUAAUUAUUCUACUUUUCAGUAUCUUGUGUUACUCAUGGGCAAAAAAACUUCUUAGUGAAUAGAAUUCUGUCUGUUGUUUCUGAUUGUUGGUAUGAACAUUAAACUAUUGGGCUGAUCUUGCUGGUUUGAAGCAGCUUUCUGAAGUAGCUCAACAGUUGCCACCCCCUUGAGCAGUGUAAAAAAGUUCCCGGUUCAUUUUCUCUUGCUUGCUUGCUUUCUUUCCUUCUUUCUUUCUGCCAAUAUUUAAUAUUGAACAGGCUCUUUAAUUUUUGCCAAACUAACGUUAUCUCAUUUAACUUUGCAUUUUCUCAAUUACUGUUGGGGUUGAAUAUGUUUUCAUAUGCUAUGGUCCAUUUGAGUGUCCUCCGGCUGUUGAUGUUGUUUGCUCAUUUUUCUAAUGAGUAAUUUGGCUUGUUAUUUUUGGUUCUAUCAUUAGUUUUUUAAAGCUAAAAUAACUCUGGGAUAUAUUUCUUAAAAUAGUACAGAUCCUAGUACAUUGUAGAACAAAGUACACCAUAUUGAUCUAUUUUAAGAAUAUGAACAUUAGUACAGUGACACGUAUGUGGAAGAAAUAACUUUCUUUCUACCUAUAAUAUAAUAAUAAAUCUCAAAUUAUCCAAACCUGCCACUUAGGGUAGGUGAAGGCCCAACUAAUAUUACUCUCAGUUUCUAUUUCCAUAUUUUCUUUAGUGACUCUGCAUUUAUUUUUUUCUGCAAAUAUUUAUGAUGUCUUUUCUAAAUUCAUUCACUAAAUACUUAGCUUUUCCUGUUUUCUAGAGCUACAAAGAGACAAGCUUAGAAAUUUGCCUUCUAUCAGCAAGAGACCAUUGUGCGUAACUAAACCAGGUGAUGAAGUGUCUUCCUAGCAGCAUAAAAUGUAUGCCUGUAUUUUAUUAUUUUUAGUUUUGUGAAGAAUGCUGUUGAUGAGGUUGCACUGGUUCUCCUAGCUCUGUCCCAGGAUGCCUUACCUUGGUAUCUUUGAUUAUCAUAUCCUUUGGUAAAAAUCCCUUUCUAUAAUUAUAGUGUAGGAAAGAGAAUAGCAGCAGUUGAACACCUAUUAUGUAAUUUGCAGUUUGAUAGUAAAUGUCUCGUGCAUGUUAUCCUCUUACUCUUCAGUAGCAUUUCAUUUUUGGUCUUGGCGGUGGUGGUGUGUUUUGCUUUGAUUUGGUUUUAUUUAUUGUACACCUGAAUCUAACAUGAGGCUGACAUUUUCCCCUAAAGAUAGUGUUUUUCUCUUGCUUUACCAUUGGAGUGUCAAGGGGGUGGGAAGACUUCAGUACUCCAUUUACCUCCUUCUUGCCACUGCACCCCUCCAAACACAUGCUAUCUAGGUAAAAGUUGUGUUGGCUGUACCGAGGCAUCUGUGAGAGUCCUCGUCUCCAGCCCCACCUCCACUACCACUAUUUUGUCUCUCCUAUCUGGAAACUCUGAAGCGCUUGAUAUUUCUAUUCCUGGUCUUUCACAAACAUGUACAAGAGGUCAUAUAAAUGUUAAUUCAACAACUCUAGGAAACAACCUUUAAAAAUAUAUUGUCUGUUGCCACUAAUGUACUUAGCGCAGUUAACUAUUUUAGGGGGAAAUUUUUUGUAAUUCCUUCAUCUAAUCACUUUAAUAUUCAUGAUGAAAUAAAGGAAGGUUGGUAGUAAACUCUCAUUCUCAUUACCAUUUGGCAGGUUAAGGACAUAGAGCAACAAGAGCAAUAUGUGUGAUGUUUCCUUAACCCUUCAAAGAACUACCCUAGACAGCUCUAAUCCAGUGAUGUAUGGGAAAGGAAACUGAAAAUGUGAUUAUCUACCUAAAAGUGAGGGCCAUCCACUAGUGCGUUUUCAGCAGUUAAUCAGCUUGUCGUAAAAAUGUACAUGGCAUGUCUGCCUAGGGAUGGGGGUGGGGGACAAACAUGACAAGUUUGCCAGACUUUAUAUUGUCUGAAUUGUUAUUAUAGUUAUCUUCCCUGAGGCUUCACAAUGUAUUUAAUAAGAAAUCAAUAUAAUCUGUUUUUGCAUAGAUUUUUCUAUGCUGCUGUUGUGUUACUCCACAAUUAAAUAGGAGAAAAACACUCUAAAACUGAAGCAGGAAAAAGUGUGUAGACUACAGAUUUUCACAGCUAAAAAAACUCCCAUUAAAUACCUACACAUUUUAACCACUGUCAAAUGUUUGGUUUGCAUUAAUAGACUGCUUAUAAUCCAAGGAGGAAUGUCUUGAGUGUGUGUGUGUGUGUGUGUGUGUGUGUGUGUGUGUGUGUGUGUGUAUUGUGUAUUUCUUCUAGACUUUUUUUUUUUUUUGGAGAAAAAUAAUAGCCAGUUAUUUUAGGAUCCUAUGAUGUGUAGUCUUUGCUUCAGUCCAAGUCAAUUAAAGAUUGAUCUACUUCCCAGAUUUAGUUACAUUAUCAAUAAUGGGGCUAUUUCAGCCACAGAGAAAAUUCAAGUAAAAUUAUCAACCAUAAUACAAGAACUAAUGCUUACAAAGUACAAAAUGCAAAAGUGUAUCUGUUUUCUGAACAACAUUAGCAAAUGUCUUUCAGUAAAGACAUUUGUAAAUGACAACUGAAAUAGUAUUAUAUCAUAAAUGAACAUGAAACAAAGGGAGAAAUUAUAUUACUGAAUGAAGUAGUUUAAUCAGAAUAAGUCUAGAAGUUAACUUGGUAGAACUUCGCAACCACUAACAAAAUAGUGACAAACCAAUGAUCACCAAUGGCCACUAAAAUCAUCAGCUGGAAAGGUAGUGAGAAGUUUUACAAUGAAUGGAUCAGGCUGACAGGACAUGAACCCACUUAUCUAUCUUAUGUUAAUAUCACAGAAAGGGAGACAGCCAGAAAUCACAGUCACCUGAUACGAUGCAAUGAGAAGUAUGUAACGUCACCCAUGACAUGUUCUUGCCCUAAAAUUAUUUAAGCAUCUAGAUAUUAAUAUCAGUUUAUGGGGAAUACAGGAGACAGAGGAACAUGUCAGUUGAUACUGUACUGAUACAUUCAUUAGAACCAGGCUAAAAUUCUACAGAGCAAAUGAAAUUAUUUCAAAUAGGAAAAAGAAGAGAGGGGGAGGUAAAACUAUAUAUCAGAAGAUUUUUAGAGACAUAGCAACCAAAUGUAACAUAUGGACCUUGUUUUGGUCCUGAUUUAAACCACCCAACUGUUUUUAAAUUGAAACAGGGAAUAUGAAUACUGACUAGAUACUUGUUGAUACUAAAAAUUUUAAUGUUAAUUUUUGGUGUAAUAAUAUUGUGGUUAUGUUAUUUUUUAAAGUAUCUAUAUUUAGAGAUACAUUUCAAGUAUUUAUUACUGAAGUAAUAAGAUGUCUUGAGUUUGCUUCAAAAUAAUCCAGUAAUGUAGAGAAUAUAAUGUAGAAUAAAGAUGUCAAUGAAAUAAGUUUGGCCACAUGUUCAUUUUCUUGUUGAAGCUGGGUAAUAAAUACAAAGAGUGUUUGUUAUACUGUUUUUUAUUGUAUAUAUUUUAAAUGUUGCAUAACAGUUUUUAAAAUGUUAGGUGAUUCAGAUCUUAAUUUUCUGACUGAAAUUGCAUUUUAAAAAUUAACCAUAAUUUCAAUGUUUAUAAGAUUAGUAUGGUUAUAUUUCUUACAAUCUGAGUAAUAAAUAUUCUUUUUGAAAAUUUAAAUAAAUGUCAUUUAUUAGCUCUAACUUUUACCAUUUAGAGAUUAUAAAUUUACAUAAUAUGUUCCACAUACCAUGUAAUACCUUUCCUAUCAAUGAUGUUCACUCAUGGCAAUGAAUGGGACAGGGAGAAAAAAGAGGGAAAGAAAGAUUAAGUUAGUCAGCCUCUCCUCUGUUAUGUUGUAAAUUGUCAUUUCUUUUUGGAUUCAUGUUUCUUAAAAGAAACCUGGACAUUAAAGCUAGAAAUUUAAGGCAGUCUUGACCAACCACUUACCUUUUCUGUUUGCCUUGAAGGGUACCUGUUCAACUCCUGAUCAGUGUUUAUGGAUCACACACUGUUUAUCAAGAAUGCUGUUUUAAGAGACUUUACCCUGUCUCUCCAUUAUCAUUAUCAUCAUUCCUUCUUAUUCAUCCUCUUAGGCUUUUUUCUGCUUCAUUCCCCUACAGCAGUAGUUAGGAACAUGUGGGUGAUAGAGAAGAGUAGGAAACCAGAGUGGUGGGUAAGGGGAUAUGGGAUGAAUUAGGGAUCCAUGAGAGUUUUCAGAGGGAUUUAAAACAUUCUAGAACCACUUUUCUAGGAUCCAGAUGUCUUACUACAUAGAAACAUAGUAUAUGCUAUGUAGAAUAUUGACUGUUUCCUUAUGGGUCCACUCUUUUUCCAGGAUAGUUAUUAAUAAUCCUGGGUCUGUGGACUGUCCCACAUGUGAAUUCAUUCCUCCUUCUGCACUAAAACAGCUAUUCAUGUUUCUUGUCCAUGAAUCAAGAGCUGAAAAUGCUGUUACAGAGAGAAACCUUUCUUUUUCAAAAAGCAAGGCAGAAAUUUAACAAGUGUAUUAUGCUCUCUCUUUUCACACUUACAAUUAAAUUUAUUAAUGAAAUUUUUACUGUUUAUAAAAAUUAAAAAUCUUUACUCUGGAUAAUUAGUAGACAGAAAGUGAAUAUCAUUCUUUAGACACACACCAGAUUUAAUAGUACCUUUACAUGAGUAGCAAAGAAUUCUCUGUGUAAAUGAUUGGGGGAAUAAAUGUUUAAUUACAAAUUUAGGCUUAAAAUUCCUUUUAAGUAAAUUUUUACAUAGUCUUUUCAAAGCACUUAAAAUAUGAAAUAAUGUACGAAAUUAAAUUGUAUGCAUCAAAUAAAACUAUUUGUAAUUAUAAAUUUCAAGGAUUUGGUAUCCCAGCGUGUCUCUUACUGUAGACUGCUACAGCUUAGUCCCAUGUUAAUGCUGUGCCCAGUCUCACAUAGAACAAAUAGAAAAACAGGGCCCUUUUCUUGUUCCUUACCAGCAUCUGCUUUAUUUACAAGUAUAACAUAUAGAUGCUUUUAUGCAGUUCUAGCAGAAAAUAGUAUGUUUAUAUGCCCUUUCUUAUUUUAAAUUUUUUUAAAUUUCCUUUCUAUUUCUUCACCUUUGGAAGGUUUUAGAAGAAUAGAAAUGAGGAAGGCAACAGCAUUUUGUAGACCAUGGACACAAAUAGUUCCCAGUAGCCCCUCUGUUUCAAGGCCAAAUCUUUGCCCAAAUAGGAUCCUAGGUUUGUGGCAGGAUAUUUAGGAAGAGAGUCUGUUGUUGUGUUUAGCCAUUUUACUCUUUUCAUCUCAGUUGCUUUCAUUCUUUCAAAUGUCACUUGAAAUAUUAGAAAACCUUCCUUUUCUGAUUUCUACUUUGACUAGUUGGAACACCUGUUGUGGGAUGGGCAUAAACAGAAGUCAUGUUUCCUGUAUAAUUUAUAGGGAUACCAGAGGGAACUGUUUGUCUCAUUUUUGUCUAGUACUACGUCCUUUUUGAUCUUCCCUUUCCCAUAUGGUCUUCUGACUCUUUUAUUCAUAGAUUCAAGGCACUAACAUAAAAUGCUUUUGUCAAAGAAUAUUUAACAUCUUCUGAAAUUUGUUCACCUCUAGUCCCUAUGAAGGUUACUUGAACUGUAUUUCCUGUUCCUUUCAUGUUUUUGCUGUGCAUCAAAUAAGCAACUUUCGCCUUCAGGAGGCUGAUCAUGAUAUUGUUUAUUUAAAUCUUAACUUUCCCUGGAAUGCGUUUUAGACAGCUGUUAUAGGGAUCCAAAAAUAUACAGUAGAGUAGCACAAAGGAAAAGUAGAAUGAAGAACUGAGAAAACAAGUAUGAAAACAAAAUAGGGCCAUGAAUAAGACCAAACAUGUUCACCACAGUAGCUGGGCAUACAUUUUACUCAAACUUGCUAGCAGCCAAUGUAAACCAAGAGUGGACUUUUUUUCCACAUUUUGCUGUCCCUGUUGCUCAUGAUUUUGUAAAGACUAAAAUUGUAAAAGCACAUUCUGAGCAUGGCCAAGUUUUUCAGGUAAAGUGUCACUGAGGGAAAUAUGAGUCUGACUCUAGGCCCUUGACCUUUUCUGCCUUCCAUGAGGUAUCAGGUCUGCCUUCCUAUAGCCAUCUUGUUUGCUCAUUCUGUUGGUCACACCAGUGGUUGGGUUUGGAGUGGAGAUGGAUUGACGCAGAGCCUCACUGGUGGAAGGCAACUCAAGCCUCAUGUCCUGUUGCUGAUGGGUCAGGAACAGCUAUAGCCUACAUGAAGGGUGUCAUUUUUAAUUCAAGUGCUCUUGCUUUUCUGUAACCUCGAUAUCACCCUCAGAUCAUAUAAAUAAUUAUGAAAAGAAGCCCUUUGCCCUGUCUCAUUUGUUAUGCCUUGCUUAGUUCAAACUAUAGGCAUGUACCAUUUUCAGGGGCAAGGUCAUAACACAUAAAAAUAACUAAACUACAGUUAGGCACCUGUUGUCACAUUUUCACUUUUCCUGGCUGCUGAGAUCUUGGGAAUAGCCUUAGGAAGAGAGGGGACUAACGGCCAUUCUGAUGAAAAGCCAGGAAGAAUUAAUUAGUGGCCCUUUCUUGGGAAGAAAGAAAUCAGUCUCCAUCCAACAGAGAAUUGCCCAGGAUCUGACAGCAUGGUAAAGAGACACUUGGUCAGUGAAAAACCAGGAAUUUGGAGGAAGAGGUUUUGUUUUGUUUUUGUUUUCAUUGAGAUUGAUUGUGAAUGGACACUAAGUAAAUUUGGAAGGGGUUUCAAAAAAUAUAGUUAAAUACUAAGGAGGAUUGCUUUCAGAAUAUUUUUGCUAAGAAAUCAUUACUGCCUGGAUUUGUGAUUUUUCAAACUAGGGUCCUGAGAGCCCCUCCGAGGUGGUAGUGAAUGUGGUGGUGGAGAUAUUUGUUUGCCUUCCAACUCCCUCGUCCUUCAGCUGGGCAAAGCAGUUCACUUUCACUGUCUUCACGUGUUGACCUUCCUGUCUUCACCUUACUGAACUAGCUUAGUGCAAUGAUGAAGAGCUAUCCAAACUUGUUUUGGGAAGAAUAAUCAUGACAUAUUGUUUAAUUUGUGUAACUGCUCUAUUUGUUCUGACGUUAAGACAGAGAGCAUAAGUCUCUAGUGUAAAGAAUUUAUUUCCCGGGCAAUCCUUACCUGACUAAGAGCAACAGAUAAAGGCCCUGUUUCCCAAACAGGAAAAACGGAACUGGUUGUAACCUAACAGUUACCUAUUAGUAAGUGGUAUGAAUUUUCAGAACAUCAGAAGACAGGUUAUAGCAUUAGAGAACCCUCUAUUCCAUCUUAGUCUUCUAGAUCCUACUUCUCACCAUGCUUAUUGUAAAUAUAAAAUGAGCUCACGGACAUUCUUCUUGAGGGUCAGGGUAAGGAGAAAUCUGACCUGCCCACAGGUGAAUGCCUGGUCUUAAUAAGACCAGGGACUUCCAUAGGAAUUAUAUUCAAAAAGCGGUAUUCUCAGCAUAAAUUCACGAGCACUCAAGAAAGCUAAAGCAAAGAAUGCAUUUAACCUAGCUAAGAAUUCACAAGAAACUAAUGGAAUAUUUUACAAAUGCAUUAAGAGAUAGACGGAGUAAAGUUUUAAAUGUACUAAUUAAAACAGAAGCCAAAGCAAUGUUAGAUAGAAAUAAAAAUCUUAAAGUAUGUUGUAUCUCCUGAUCAUAAUUGAAGAUUUCAUUUAAUUAUAAUUAAUGACGAUAUAGAAAUUUAAGUGUUUGACAGAAUGUGUUAAACUUAGUUAAGGUAGUUUGUUUUAAAUUUAUCCUGUAACAUUCUUAAGUAGAGACAAACUUAAGAAUCAUUAGUAGUUAUUUUGUCAUAUUUCCUUGGGGAGGGGAAAAAAAAAUCCCAGAUGCAUAAUGGGAAAUACAGAGUGACAGGGAACUAUGGAGCCCAGUUCACAUAACUAAGAGGAUUCUGGAAUAAUUCUUUAAAAAGCAAUUUGUAAUGCCUAGAGGAUAACAAGGUGUUAAGUAAUUGCAAUGUGAACUCAUUGCCAAAAAAUAAAAUCACAAAAUGAGUUUACCUUUUUUUUUUUUUUAACUUAGAAAUAGACCUUGGAAUUGACUAAAAAGUAGACUUAGCUAGAACUUCUCACAAUAGAUUUGGAAUCCAGAAAGCCUAUACAUUUGCUAAUGGAGUAAUUUUGAUUAGUGGAAAAAUAAAGCCCACCAAUGGCACAAUAAAAGGUGAAACAUAUGUUAUAAAAUGAGCAAAUCACAAAUUGAAAGUAAGAUAAUAAAGAAUUGGUGGAAAAA
Homo sapiens (human) is the source of this 8906-nucleotide long non-coding RNA. RefSeq lists it as uncharacterized. The transcript has 2 exons. The record is from RefSeq and is a predicted model, not a curated record. Lineage: Eukaryota; Metazoa; Chordata; Mammalia; Primates; Hominidae.